AAGGAGCCGGUAUCAAGUACCACUGCCGCGCGACCAAGUUCGACGCGAUCAUCGUCGCCGCCACGGCCCUGUCGGCGGUUCUGGUCUCAGUCGAAUUCUGCAUCCUCGUCGGCACGAUUCUCUCGUUCCUGAUGUACGUCCCCCGCGCGGCCCGGGUGGAAAUGCAAGAACUCGUUAUUACAUCCAAUCACCGCAUCCGCGAACGGAACGACGACGAUGUGCCGAGCGACCGACUGCGGAUCUACAAUUUUGAAGGGGAGCUGUUUUUCGGUUCGUCGCCGGAGUUUGAAUCGCACCUCGAGCAGAUCGAAGGAGAGAUCGACGCCGACCUGCGGAUUCUCAUUCUCCGCGUGAAGCACCUCCGCAAUCCCGACGCCGUCUGCAUGCACCUGCUCGCCGAGUUCAUCGAGGAGACGGAGGCCCGCGGCGUGGUCGUCUGUCUGACGGGCGUCCGCGGCGGGUUCUACGCGACGUUGAAGAAGGUAGGCAUCGUCGAACUGCUGGGCGACGAGCGGGUCUUCCGCGAAGUACCGCGCGACUGGACCAGCACCGUCGCCGCCAUCGAAUGGGCGCACCGGCAACUAGGAGACGACCUGAACGGCGCCGCCCUCCCGCCCGACGAAGAAUCCGUCGUCGUCCGCGACUGGCACUUCACAUCCCUCUA
This 664-nucleotide ribosomal RNA is filed under the name Hemitrichia serpula. RNAcentral describes it as "partial 12S ribosomal RNA". Lineage: Eukaryota; Evosea; Eumycetozoa; Trichiida; Trichiidae. The record is from RNAcentral.